This is a long non-coding RNA of Hippocampus zosterae (dwarf seahorse), 2162 nucleotides long. RefSeq lists it as uncharacterized. NCBI's taxonomy places the organism in Eukaryota, Metazoa, Chordata, Actinopteri, Syngnathiformes, Syngnathidae. The record is from RefSeq and is a predicted model, not a curated record. The transcript has 5 exons.
CAGUCUACCGCAGCGCCAUGUUCGGGCGACCAUUUCUCUCAGUGGUUGGUUCAAAUCGCAAGUUGCUAACCCAGGCCCUCAGCCAAUCGCCGACGACAACGAACGGGACAACACACACGUACCCGUCCCGUUGGUCGACAGCCUCUUCGUGCUCUCGGGCCAAUCGCCGACGACAACGAAAUGCUAAUCCUAAUAUAGAGUGAAAUUAGCUUCUCCCAUUGGCUCAUGUCCUCACCACUUUCGCUCGCUCCGCGAUUCAUUCUUCUCACAUUUGUUCGAGAUUUCCAGGCGUAAAAUUAAACUCACAUCGUCGUCGAACUCACCAAAACACUUACUGUUGUAAUGGCGGGCAUGUAACUUCAACACUCCUAAUAUAUAUCGCUGGAAUACUUUCAAGGAGAAGACGAGACAAUUACCCCAGCCGAACACAUUACCGAUGUACCUGUCUGAAGGCAAUGGAUUUCAAGCCCGACUUUGUGUUCAUGCCGCCUGGUAUGAAGCAUUUACGGCUGCAGUGCACGGCUCAGGCAACAAAGCUGGCCCAAGCAUACAGAGCGAAACCCGCAGCUACCACCUGCAAGAGCGCUUCCGUGGUGAAGGAGGAGGCCGUGGCCCGCGUUGUUCAAGGCGGCGGAGACCCCCAGUGCUGGCAACUGGUGCUCAGCGAGAUGACGCUCCAGUUUGGCUAGUACCGGGGCCAAACAUUCAAAUGACUCCUUGAGAACGAUGUGGGCUACUGUGCCAUGGUCGUGGCUUCCCACCAGAAGGAGGAAAACGGCGACACGUCGCAGUCACCCCUGGCGGCGAAUAAAGAUUCCCUGGCAUGGUACACACACGUCUUCCCGGAGAUGGCCGCUGUCGUGCGGCAUCGGCUGAUGGUCAUGGGAGCACCGUUGGUCAGGGAGCUGGGUGAGCAACUGUUGACAAUGGGACAGUUCCCCAACGAAACCUACGGUUCUCCCUACGAGUCAACUGAUGAGCGGCAUCGAGCGUAUGUUUGUCGUAUGCGCGCAGGGAAAGCUGGUAUGGCGGGCUCCUUCUUCCACACCCUGAACUCCUACAUCGUUGGGAGAGACAAUGAGGCAAAUUACAAAAGGUCUCGUCGGUAAACGACUCAUGGGUCGCAACCGCGAGCGCCCCCGACGUUUCCCUGGAGCGCCGAGGAAGAUGCAGUUCAUCGUCUGCCGCAACCGCGAGCACCCCCAUCGUUUGCGUGGAGUGCCGGGGAAGAUGCGAUACGUGCGGUGGUCUGGUAACGAGCAGGAGGAGGAGGAGGUACCGUGCCAGCGGCGAGCCCGACGGCAGUGGUGAUACGCCCGCCAGGUGUACCGUUCGCAGGAGGAAGAGCAGAGCCCUGCAGGACGAGCAGCUACUCGAUGCCAACGAACGAUUCACAUGGGGCAGCGAACCUGGGGAGGACUGCCUGUGAUGUGGCCAGGCUCGUACUUUGGCGGGGGGGGGGGGGGCAUGCUUUUUACAAAGGCAGCUAUUUCUGCCAAUUAAACGAGGAUUGCGGGGAGGACGGCGUGGUGAGCAUUUCGACAUGGCUGCAAAAGCAGUUGUCUGCGCUGCCGCUAAAAACUCCCCAUACCACUGUGUGGCGGCAACGCAAACACCAGACCGAGGGGCGGGAGCAGUCGACAGAGCGGAAAGCCAGAACGUGCGGAAAGUGUGGCCACCCGCAACAGGUGGUGUACGGUCUCACUUCCUUCAUGAGCAAAGUGCCCAAGAAGACUCUCCGAACCUUCUGCACACUGCAUGAGGGAAAACCAAUGGCCCUGUGGCUGGCAGAGCAGCGGGCGAGGGAAACGCUUGACGCCGCUACGCAAGAAGCACCUGCGCCUUCUUCCUCUAGGGAGGAAGAACCUGCGCGCGAGGAGAAAGAACCUGCGCGCGAGGCCUAAUGUGUCAAAACAUCUCUCUUGUGUGCGUUUCUUUCCGCGCACCGGUGUUCAAUUUUCAAUCUUCAAGACGUUCUUAUAGAUGUGGUGUGUGAAGUUAGUUGAGUCAAUAGAUAGAUAGAUGUGUGAUGAACCAGCAGCAGCGAGUGGCAUUGUGUCAUUUAUUGAUUUUCAUUCAAGACAAAUUGGUUCACUGUUUUAAAAGAAAUAGAUGUGGUGUGUGAAGUUAGUUGAAUCAAUAAAUAGAUGUGUGAAGCAGCA